RNAcentral lists this ribosomal RNA (245 nucleotides) under Glomus sp. (unid). The record is from RNAcentral. Lineage: Eukaryota; Fungi; Glomeromycota; Glomeromycetes; Glomerales; Glomeraceae.
CAGUCGUACCUGCGGACAAUCAGCUUUUGAGUGUGAUUAUGUGGGGCGUGAGGAGCUUAACCGCCUUCAUGUUUUGCAUAUUCGUGCACAUUUGGUGUACUUGUCCGUGUGGUGGGUUAACAUCAAUUUCGGUCGUCAUAAAAUGAUUGGAGGAAUGUAGCUUUGGUCUCGUAUCGAAGUGUUAUAGACUCUGGUAGAUGGUGACGGUUGGGGGUUGAGGGUAUUGGCAACGGACUACCCCGUUC